Molecule: ribosomal RNA, 269 nt
Filed under: uncultured prokaryote
Description: partial 16S ribosomal RNA
Rfam family: Bacterial small subunit ribosomal RNA
Source: RNAcentral
UACGGAGGAUGCGAGCGUUAUCCGGAUUUAUUGGGUUUAAAGGGUGCGCAGGCGGGAGAUUAAGUCGGCGGUGAAAUUUUGCAGCUCAACUGUAAAAGUGCCUUCGAAACUGGUUUCCUUGAGUGUAGAUGAAGUAGGCGGAAUUUGUGGUGUAGCGGUGAAAUGCAUAGAUAUCACGAGGAACUCCGAUUGCGCAGGCAGCUUACUAAACUACUACUGACGCUCAGGCACGAAGGCGUGGGGAUCAAACAGGAUUAGAUACCCCCGUA